AAUCAAUUUAAUGAAAUCCCACAUAUAUGCUAGAGAAUAUGGCUCUAGUGUCUCUACCCGAUACCGUAAAUAUCGGACUAUGCGGGAAAGCGAACUUUAA
This 100-nucleotide non-coding RNA is filed under the name Ureibacillus massiliensis. RNAcentral describes it as "Lysinibacillus massiliensis Guanine sequence". It matches the Rfam family "Purine riboswitch aptamer". Rfam says of the family: Riboswitches are metabolite binding domains within certain messenger RNAs that serve as precision sensors for their corresponding targets. Allosteric rearrangement of mRNA structure is mediated by ligand binding, and this results in modulation of gene expression. Lineage: Bacteria; Bacillati; Bacillota; Bacilli; Caryophanales; Caryophanaceae. The record is from RNAcentral. RNAcentral also lists the same sequence under 1 other name.